UAUAAAUUUGACGAGCAUGACCGUGACUCAGUCCAUUUAAGGUUGCAAUUUGCUCGCUACCCUGGUGCAAGGUCAGGUGGCGGGCAUCGUGGCAAACGUUAAAAUAAAUAAUGUGGCUGCGCAGGAUUUGCGCAAACCGGGGAGGUUAUGAUAAUUGGGAUGAUACAAUGGUGUUGCAGUUACAAGAAUUACACAAAUCUCUGAAUGGGCACUUUCUUUAGGACGAAAUUGAAUUUUGUGUUUUUCAGUAAUUAUAGGGC
This 260-nucleotide unclassified non-coding RNA is filed under the name Hevea brasiliensis (rubber tree). Lineage: Eukaryota; Viridiplantae; Streptophyta; Magnoliopsida; Malpighiales; Euphorbiaceae. The record is from RNAcentral.